RNAcentral lists this ribosomal RNA (253 nucleotides) under uncultured bacterium. RNAcentral describes it as "partial 16S ribosomal RNA". It matches the Rfam family "Bacterial small subunit ribosomal RNA", at positions 524 to 776 of the family's 1533-position model. The record is from RNAcentral.
UACGGAGGAUCCAAGCGUUAUCCGGAAUCAUUGGGUUUAAAGGGUCCGUAGGCGGUUUAGUAAGUCAGUGGUGAAAGCCCAUCGCUCAACGGUGGAACGGCCAUUGAUACUGCUAAACUUGAAUUAUUAGGAAGUAACUAGAAUAUGUAGUGUAGCGGUGAAAUGCUUAGAGAUUACAUGGAAUACCAAUUGCGAAGGCAGGUUACUACUAAUAUAUUGACGCUGAUGGACGAAAGCGUGGGUAGCGAACAGG